AAGUGUUACAGCUCCUUCAGAAUUUGUCUAGCAAGUUUUCUGGUUUUUACUGGAACCCUCCC
RNAcentral lists this small nuclear RNA (62 nucleotides) under Otolemur garnettii (small-eared galago). Its description in RNAcentral is "U7 small nuclear RNA". It matches the Rfam family "U7 small nuclear RNA". Rfam says of the family: Animal histone pre-mRNAs are spliced by a different mechanism than nuclear pre-mRNAs and self-splicing introns. This processing involves the U7 snRNP, which contains only one RNA species: U7. Lineage: Eukaryota; Metazoa; Chordata; Mammalia; Primates; Galagidae. The record is from Rfam by way of RNAcentral.